Molecule: long non-coding RNA, 972 nt
Filed under: Setaria viridis
Lineage: Eukaryota; Viridiplantae; Streptophyta; Magnoliopsida; Poales; Poaceae
Description: long non-coding RNA (SVIR_LNC008583)
Source: RNAcentral
ACACAUGACAGCCAUCCCGUGCCGGUUUUCGCUGCACCCCUACAAAGUUGGCCACCUGGCUGGUGCAAGCUCCAGUGGUAAGGUGUUUCUCUGGACCAGAGUUUAAAGGCUCCGGUGAUAAGGUGUUUCCCUGGACCAGAGCAUGAAGCAACAAGAUCUUCACCGACUCACCUGUGAAAUCCUGCUAUGCCCAAGUUCCUAACCGGGAAGAUCCUCAUCUCGUGGUUGAGUACAACACCUGGUGCUUGCUUAGCAUCAUACUGCUAUCAAAAUGUAUAAUAGUUAGCACCGGAGAACCAUUUGGUAUUGUAAUAUAUGCGAUGGAACUGAUGCCUUAUCUAAUUAUUACACCCACCCAUUUAUCACCAUCUGUGCUGCUUGAAUGCGUUUGAACAAGGAUGCGUUUAUUUGAACAAGGAUGUUUAUUUCUGAUUUUUCUUUAAUUUUUUCCUGCAUUUUUGAAGUAUUUUUUGCUCCAAAGGGGAAUUUAGCCUCUUGGUUCCCAAACCCAGAUGGGGAAAUUGAUUUGCCACUAAAAUCCCCCUGGUGGCUUUUCUCCCUGUGGUUUAACUCCCCUUGCUGCCAAAUCAAACCUAAUUGAUGCAUAUAUAUAAUCUAUUAACCUCACUCUUAACUAGAUGUACUGAAUCUUUACAUGCCUCUCUAUCAAGGACAGGAACGUACGUACCUGCAAGGGCAACGACAGACAGCAACUCCGGCUCAUCGAUCCCUCAGAGAAGAAGGCAUGUGGCCAUCAACUACCAGGAGCAGGAAGGCGUACGUGUGUACAGUUCUGAUGUUGCUAGCCUUCUAAGGUUCCCUCAAUUACCUCAUGUGCUACUGCAACUCAGCAAUCAUUGUACCCUUCUCCAACCUUGCAACCAGAUAGAUUCUCUGCCGAAUGCUGCCGCUCAUCAUCCAAGCUUUUCAGAUCUACUGCACCUAUCACACAGGGAACUUUAUUUUCAGUUC